This 391-nucleotide transfer-messenger RNA is filed under the name Leptolyngbya sp. GGD. It matches the Rfam family "transfer-messenger RNA". From Rfam's summary of the family: Bacterial tmRNA, also known as 10Sa RNA or SsrA, is named for its dual tRNA and mRNA-like properties. Lineage: Bacteria; Bacillati; Cyanobacteriota; Cyanophyceae; Leptolyngbyales; Leptolyngbyaceae. The record is from RNAcentral.
GGGGCUGUAACGGUUUCGACAGGUUGGCGAACGUUCCAUCGAGAUGCAGGUCGAGAGGGAGUCCACUCUCGUAAAUCUAGGCUCAAAAAAAUAGAUGCAAACAACAUCGUACCUUUCGCUCGUAAAACUGCACCUGUUGCAGCAUAAAACACCUCUAAUUCAGGUUCGAGCGCUUACCGUCUGACACCGUUAAAGAUAGUAAGCACAACCCCAACGGUUGCUCUAGAAUUUCGCCUUUGGUCGGCAUUCUAGCUAAGACAAUACCAAAGCAUCCUAUUGUCCGGGAUAAAGGACAGUUCCCGCUUCGAGGAUUAGAGAAGCUAAACCUGUGAAUGAUUGAUAGAGCUAAUACCCAGUUUGGACACGGGUUCGACUCCCGUCAGCUCCACUU